This is a long non-coding RNA of Brassica napus (rape), 251 nucleotides long. RefSeq lists it as uncharacterized. The transcript has 3 exons. The record is from RefSeq and is a predicted model, not a curated record. Lineage: Eukaryota; Viridiplantae; Streptophyta; Magnoliopsida; Brassicales; Brassicaceae.
ACUGUCGAGGACCUUCUCCGUCAGCCAGGCAGAGAAGGUUUACCAGUCAUAGACCCCGACCGACCGGACAAAACUUUGUGGUUUGGGGUUGACAAUUGUCUUGCAUCAGACGUAAUUGACACGAUCAAAGGUUACUUCUCCAUGCCACAUCCGAACUGGAGAAAGACGCUGAUCUGCGUCAGAAAGACGUGGUUCAAAAUUUACGCUCAAAAAUAUCAUUGCUCCAUGGGGGUCACUGAGAGGGUGAGGAA